This 336-nucleotide unclassified non-coding RNA is filed under the name plant metagenome. RNAcentral's name for it is "partial contains small subunit ribosomal RNA, internal transcribed spacer 1, and 5.8S ribosomal RNA". The record is from RNAcentral.
UUUCCGUAGGUGAACCUGCGGAAGGAUCAUUAUUGAAUAUGCUUGAUAGGUUGUAGCUGGCUCUUCGGAGUAUGUGCACGCUUAUCUUGACUUAAUUCAUCCACCUGUGCACCUUUUGUAGUCUUGGGGGUUGAGAUCGGUCGACUAUCGGAUGGCCAAGGUCAUUCCGGAUGUGAGGAAUGCUGAGUGCGAAAGCAUACAGCUCUUCUCAAAUGACUUGUCUUCCUCGAGUACUAUGUAUUCAUAUACCGCAUAGUAUGUUGUAGAAUGUGAUCAAUGGGUCUAUGUACCUAUAAUAAUUAUAUACAACUUUCAGCAACGGAUCUCUUGGCUCUC